Molecule: non-coding RNA, 159 nt
Filed under: Nomascus leucogenys (northern white-cheeked gibbon)
Lineage: Eukaryota; Metazoa; Chordata; Mammalia; Primates; Hylobatidae
Source: Rfam by way of RNAcentral
GCUGGGCGUAGUGACGCACGCCUGUAAUCCCAGCUACUCUGGAGGCUGAGACAGGAGAAUUGCUUGAACCCGGGAGGCGGAGGUGGCAGUGAGCCGAGAGUGAGCCGAGAUCGCACCACUGCACUCCAGCCUGGGUGACAGAGUGAGACUCCGUCUCCA